AGACAGCAGUAGCCGCGGGAAAACGGAGGGUGCAAGCGUUAAUCGGAAUUACUGGGCGUAAAGCGCACGCAGGCGGUCUGACAAGUCAGAUGUGAAAUCCCCGGGCUUAACCUGGGAACUGCAUUUGAAACUGUCAGGCUGGAGUCUUGUAGAGGGGGGUGGAAUUCCAGGUGUAGCGGUGAAAUGCGUAGAGAUCUGGAGGAAUACCGGUGGCGAAGGCGGCCCCCUGGACAAAGACUGACGCUCAGGUGCGAAAGCGUGGGGAGCAAACAGGAUUAGAUACCCGGGUAGUCCCUGUCUCUUAUAC
This 307-nucleotide ribosomal RNA is filed under the name uncultured bacterium. RNAcentral's name for it is "partial 16S ribosomal RNA". It matches the Rfam family "Bacterial small subunit ribosomal RNA", at positions 506 to 807 of the family's 1533-position model. The record is from RNAcentral.